GUGGGGAAUAUUGGACAAUGGGCGCAAGCCUGAUCCAGCCAUGCCGCGUGAGUGAUGAAGGCCUUAGGGUUGUAAAGCUCUUUCAGUGGGGACGAUAAUGACGGUACCCACAGAAGAAGCCCCGGCUAACUUCGUGCCAGCAGCCGCGGUAAUACGAAGGGGGCUAGCGUUGUUCGGAUUUACUGGGCGUAAAGCGCACGUAGGCGGAUCGUUAAGUCGGGGGUGAAAUCCUGGAGCUCAACUCCAGAACUGACUUCGAUACUGGCGAUCUUGAGUCCGGAAGAGGUGAGUGGAACUCCUAGUGUAGAGGUGGAAUUCGUAGAUAUUAGGAAGAACACCAGUGGCGAAGGCGGCUCACUGGUCCGGUACUGACGCUGAGGUGCGAAAGCGUGGGGAGCAAACAGGAUUAGAAACCCUAGUAGUCC
RNAcentral lists this ribosomal RNA (425 nucleotides) under uncultured bacterium. Its description in RNAcentral is "bacterial SSU rRNA". It matches the Rfam family "Bacterial small subunit ribosomal RNA", at positions 354 to 796 of the family's 1533-position model. The record is from RNAcentral.